This is a long non-coding RNA of Mya arenaria, 726 nucleotides long. RefSeq lists it as uncharacterized. The record is from RefSeq and is a predicted model, not a curated record. Lineage: Eukaryota; Metazoa; Mollusca; Bivalvia; Myida; Myidae. The transcript has 3 exons.
AUCUGCGUUUAGAUGUCGGGGAUGUGUUAGACGAAUGAUUUUGUUUUAUGGAGCUUUGAAGAGCGAUGAAUGGCACUAAAGUGGUGCCAAAUUGAUAUCUCAAACACCCAUUGGAAAUAACCACCAUCUCUCUCAGAGGUCGUCUUUCUCAUUAUUGUGGAGAAACCUCAAAGGGCAUCAGGAAAACCUUCAUCACCUCUUUGUGCCCAGUGGCUUGUGCAACAGUGUUUCAGAAAUAAUCAUUAAAAUGGGGAUAAUGGAUGACUGGCCACACAUAUGGGGCUAUGGACAAGCUUCAGAGCAGGCUGCCAGCGACAUUAGAUGACAAGCCAUCUAUGCUGGACAUUCUUCACAAUAAAAUGUGAUGUCACAGCAGCUGUCUAUCUCAACAGCUCACACUGUCCGUAUUUGACUAAAGGAAUGAAUGAAGUCACUGCAGAAGUUGGAUUGAGGAAUGUCCAUGUCACUACCCAUCAUUUGGAAGGUGUUGGAUAAAAAAAGUGUGGCCUAUGUAUUGAAACUGGUCCGACAUUCCAGUUACGGACAGUCUUGAUUUGUUUGAUUCCAUUUCUGACCAACAUGAUGGUCUUAAAGAACACUUACUGGUAAAUGGUAAAAUCAUGGCCCAGUUGUUCCAAGAGGCAGGCGAGUGGGAAGUUACUAGACUCUAUUUCUUUAUGGGUUGAUCUGAGGUUCCAGUUCAGUUAGUACUGAUGGAACACCAAG